This 339-nucleotide ribosomal RNA is filed under the name uncultured bacterium. RNAcentral describes it as "bacterial SSU rRNA". It matches the Rfam family "Bacterial small subunit ribosomal RNA", at positions 1 to 334 of the family's 1533-position model. The record is from RNAcentral.
ACAGAUCGUUCAGAGUUUGAUCCUGGCUCAGGACAACGCUGGCGGCGUGCCUAACACAUGCAAGUCAACGGGGUUACGGGAGCUUGCUCCUGUAACUUAGUGGCGAACGGGUGAGUAACGCGUGAGAAACCUGCCUUUCAGUGGGGGACAACAGUUGGAAACGACUGCUAAUACCGCAUAACAUCCUUUAGGGGCAUCCCUUUUGGAUCAAAGCUUUAUGUGCUGAAAGAUGGUCUCGCGUCUGAUUAGCUAGUUGGUGGGGUAACGGCCCACCAAGGCGACGAUCAGUAGCCGGUCUGAGAGGAUGAACGGCCACAUUGGGACUGAGAUACGGCCCAG